Molecule: non-coding RNA, 148 nt
Filed under: Pantoea sp.
Lineage: Bacteria; Pseudomonadati; Pseudomonadota; Gammaproteobacteria; Enterobacterales; Erwiniaceae
Description: FMN sequence
Rfam family: FMN riboswitch aptamer (RFN element)
About the family: The RFN element is a highly conserved domain that is found frequently in the 5'-untranslated regions of prokaryotic mRNAs that encode for flavin mononucleotide (FMN) biosynthesis and transport proteins. This element is a metabolite-dependent riboswitch that directly binds FMN in the absence of proteins. In Bacillus subtilis, the riboswitch most likely controls gene expression by causing premature transcription termination within the 5' untranslated region of the ribDEAHT operon and precluding access to the ribosome-binding site of ypaA mRNA.
Source: RNAcentral
GCUUAUUCUCAGGGCGGGGCGAAAUUCCCCACCGGCGGUAAAUCAGCUACGGCUGAAAGCCCGCGAGCGCUUUCCGGCAACGGAAAGGUCAGCAGAUCCGGUGUAAUUCCGGGGCCGACGGUUAGAGUCCGGAUGGGAGAGGGUAACG